Molecule: ribosomal RNA, 468 nt
Filed under: uncultured bacterium
Lineage: Bacteria
Description: partial 16S ribosomal RNA
Rfam family: Bacterial small subunit ribosomal RNA
Source: RNAcentral
GACGAACGCUGGCGGCGUGCUUAACACAUGCAAGUCGAACGGAAAGGCCCUGCUUUUGUGGGGUGCUCGAGUGGCGAACGGGUGAGUAACACGUGAGUAACCUGCCCUUGACUUUGGGAUCACUUCAGGAAACUGGGGCUAAUACCGGAUAGGAGCUCCUGCUGCAUGGUGGGGGUUGGAAAGUUUCGGCGGUUGGGGAUGGACUCGCGGCUUAUCAGCUUGUUGGUGGGGUAGUGGCUUACCAAGGCUUUGACGGGUAGCCGGCCUGAGAGGGUGACCGGCCACAUUGGGACUGAGAUACGGCCCAGACUCUUACGGGAGGCAGCAGUGGGGAAUAUUGCACAAUGGGCGGAAGCCUGAUGCAGCAACGCCGCGUGCGGGAUGACGGCCUUCGGGUUGUAAACCGCUUUCGCCUGUGACGAAGCGUGAGUGACGGUAAUGGGUAAAGAAGCACCGGCUAACUACGUG